This 30-nucleotide non-coding RNA is filed under the name Homo sapiens (human). Lineage: Eukaryota; Metazoa; Chordata; Mammalia; Primates; Hominidae. The record is from RNAcentral.
UGCACUGGUUUUGGGACCUUCUGAGGUUGU